Molecule: long non-coding RNA, 1824 nt
Organism: Paralichthys olivaceus (Japanese flounder)
Lineage: Eukaryota; Metazoa; Chordata; Actinopteri; Pleuronectiformes; Paralichthyidae
Source: RefSeq, a predicted model, not a curated record
CAGACCUGGCAACCCAGGGACCCACCCGGAAGCAGCUGCAGCGGCUCCGGGCGGAGGGGAUGACUUCAGUCCGUCACUGAAACAUGGUGGUUGCUUCAGAUAGGAAAGUUUCGUGCUCGUGUUGCGGAUGUUGGCGACUGUGUGCGGACCUGGCGAAGAGAAGCUAAUGUUCCUUUGACGGAGACGUCGGAUCUUCAGCCCCCCCCCCCACGUCUGCUUCACCAUGCCGCUGGUCUUAGAUGCCGUGUGGGCGCUGUGGAGCAUUGGAGCUGGUAUCUAUGACUACUUCCAUACCAGCGCCAUGGAGGAGAGGAUCCACACGCUGGAGAACCUCCUCUCUAUCCACCAGUUUGUGAUCACAGCCCUGUCUGCAGGCCUCAUCCUGCUUAUGAUGUACAUACUGUGGAGAAAACACUAAAACCUUGCCGACCUGGGCAACUGCUGCCAGUCAAUGUUGUUUUGCCGCGGGAUAUCUUUCAUUACCUAGGCUAAUUUCCUUCCAGAUUUUGGCACAGGGACAGUCUGAUUCAUGCAGCUGUUCACACUUGAAGAUGACGUGUGUUCAAUGAAGAUGUCCCAGAUGAGGUCAGGAGCACUGAAGAGAAACUAAACCGAGGAGUAUAGCUCCAUAAGGACAUCUUGUCUCUGAAAACUUGUCGGUAGUUGAGCUGCGUCUGUCUGUCUGUCUGUGUUUUUUGGAUGUUAAACUUGCCUGAGUCAUCUACAGACCAGAAAUCACAGCUGCUUCUCAAGGCAACUUUGCACUUUUACUUUGCCAAGCUUGAAAGUAUUUAAUGUCCAGAGAUUUUACAGCCUUUGAUUUGUUAACAGAAGCCAAGUGUGACAAUAGUUUCCACUGCGUUUUUUAACCCUGAUAUCACAAUGUGAUUAUUUUGUGUUCACAAAUCAGUUAUGAUGGUUUUUUUUACAUAUACAUUUGUCUGAAUUGAUUUAAUUAUUUCAUCCUCUUGGCAUUGUCAUCAUCACAACUUAAUUAUCUCUGUCCAGUCGCCUCUGUUAUCUCUGGUUUGUUCUCUCCUCAGAUACAGACGAAUAAUAAUAAUAUUGAAAUCCACUUUGGAUAGACGGAACUAGAUAAGUCUGUUAUCUGGAGCUAUUGAUGCUUUUAAGUUCACUGAGCAGUGUCUAAAGAAAAAAACAUCUUGUCGAAUAUGUAUAGUUGCUUCAGACAUGCACUGAAGUCUGGACAUUUUCCUGACAUUUUCUGAAGGGGCUGUAAGAACUCAAAUGUCUGAAUUAGUAGCUCUAGACAUUUUCUAGAAAUGUUCCUACCUGCCCCACAGUAAAAUGUCCGAGUGAGCCUAUAUGAGAAUACAGCACGGAAAUAACCGGAAAAUUCACAGCAAGCAAGUGGGCAUAUUUAUGGAAGAAUACAAAUAUCUCAGUAUGAAAAACAGGAGCCACACAUACAGAAAACACAGACAAAGAGGUCAAAUUGAAAGGACGAGGAGAUUCAAGAGCUUGUGGUGAUAGAAGGGCCUACACAGGUACCUGGUCUUUCCACAGUAGGAUUUAUCUUCAUAUGUUUUUUUCAUAUGUGAAAGACAAACCCCAGAACAUUUCUGGACAUUUUCCAGAGUUCAUGUCUGAAAAAAGCUCAUGUCAGGCAGGUGGUCGGCAGAUCGAGGCUGAGGAGAAUAUGUGGCGGCUGUUAAACUUGCGGUGUAUUUACCCUGGUUCCAGGAGAGGUUAAAAACCAACUCGUUUCUAAAGCACAUUUAAAAACAGGACAUUAAAAAAGUGCUGUACAAUAAAAUAACAGUAGAAUAAGAAAAUAUUACCACUAAAUUCAAACACUGGGAA